This 495-nucleotide ribosomal RNA is filed under the name uncultured bacterium. RNAcentral describes it as "partial 16S ribosomal RNA". It matches the Rfam family "Bacterial small subunit ribosomal RNA", at positions 28 to 507 of the family's 1533-position model. The record is from RNAcentral.
GACGAACGCUGGCGGCGUGCCUAAUACAUGCAAGUAGAACGCUGAAGGAGGAGUUUGCUUCGCUGGAUGAGUUGCGAACGGGUGAGUAACGCGUAGGUAACCUGCCUGGUAGCGGGGGAUAACUAUUGGAAACGAUAGCUAAUACCGCAUAAUAGCAGUUGUUGCAUGACAACUGUUGGAAAGGUGCAAUUGCACUAAUACCAGAUGGACCUGCGUUGUAUGUGCUAGUUGGUGGGGUAACGGCUCACUCAGGCGACUAAACAGAGCCGAACGGUGAGGGGGGUCGGCCGAACUGGGAGUGGGACCCGGCCCAUAGUCCUACAGGAAGCAGCCAGAGGGAAUCUUCGGCAAUGGGCGGAAGACUGACCAAACACCGCCGCAGGAGUGAAGAAGGUUUUCGGAUCGUAAAGCUCUGUUGUAAGAGUAGAACGAGUGUGAGACUGGAACGUUCAGUCUGUGACGGUAUCUUACCAGAAAGGAACGGCUAACUACGUG